UGCUUUUGGUAAUGGUAUUUCAUCAUAGCA
This 30-nucleotide non-coding RNA is filed under the name Rattus norvegicus (Norway rat). Lineage: Eukaryota; Metazoa; Chordata; Mammalia; Rodentia; Muridae. The record is from RNAcentral.